AUCUACACUUGAUCUUUUGGCUAAGAUCAAGUGUAGUAUCUGUUCUUAUCAGUUUAAUAUCCGACAUGUUCUCUAAAUGAGAACGUUGUAUUAAACAGAUUUUUCAAACAGGUAGCUGGACGAGGGGCUUGCUUCUUCCGCUCCAUGCAUCAACCUGGUAUUGCAGUACCUCCAGGAAUAGUGCCCAUUUG
This is a small nuclear RNA of Neoarius graeffei (lesser salmon catfish), 191 nucleotides long. RefSeq annotates it as U2 spliceosomal RNA. The transcript has a single exon. Lineage: Eukaryota; Metazoa; Chordata; Actinopteri; Siluriformes; Ariidae. The record is from RefSeq and is a predicted model, not a curated record.